UACGUAGGGUGCGAGCGUUGUCCGGAAUUAUUGGGCGUAAAGAGCUUGUAGGCGGUUUGUCGCGUCUGCUGUGAAAAUCCGGGGCUCAACCCCGGACUUGCAGUGGGUACGGGCAGACUAGAGUGUGGUAGGGGAGACUGGAAUUCCUGGUGUAGCGGUGGAAUGCGCAGAUAUCAGGAGGAACACCGAUGGCGAAGGCAGGUCACUGGGCCGCAACUGACGCUGAGGAGCGAAAGCGUGGGGAGCGAACAGG
Molecule: ribosomal RNA, 253 nt
Filed under: uncultured bacterium
Lineage: Bacteria
Description: partial 16S ribosomal RNA
Rfam family: Bacterial small subunit ribosomal RNA
Source: RNAcentral